Molecule: ribosomal RNA, 405 nt
Filed under: Triticum aestivum (bread wheat)
Lineage: Eukaryota; Viridiplantae; Streptophyta; Magnoliopsida; Poales; Poaceae
Description: partial small subunit ribosomal RNA
Source: RNAcentral
AUGGAAGUAUGGUUGGAUUGGAAAGGAAAAACGGAAAAUACGCCUGUAGAUGGCCAAAGAGCUGGGCGGAUUAAAGAUCCAGAGAGUAUUUCCCCUUCUGCCUUAGUUCGUGGCAGAAACGGAGAGACUGUCGCCUACACUGAUUCAACAGGGAAGAGAGAAAAACUCAGAUUAAGAGAAAAACGGGAUGCAAGCGGAGCUCGGGCGAUGUUGAAAGUUGUUGAAAAGCGAUGGAAUUGGGUUAGAAAGCGAUGGAAUUUGGUGGGAUUUGGUGAUUGUCGCCGGACCAAGCCGGAGUUCGCCUUAGUCGCUGGAGGCACUAGAACCGUCAGGAAGGGACGGAAAGAACGAGUGAACCGUAAGCAAUCCCUUUUUCUAAUCACACUUGAGGAGCUGUUCGGGUAA